This 254-nucleotide ribosomal RNA is filed under the name uncultured bacterium. Its description in RNAcentral is "partial 16S ribosomal RNA". It matches the Rfam family "Bacterial small subunit ribosomal RNA", at positions 524 to 776 of the family's 1533-position model. The record is from RNAcentral.
CACGUAGGGGGCAAGCGUUGUCCGGAUUUAUUGGGCGUAAAGAGCUCGUAGGUGGUUCGGUAAGUCGGGUGUUAAACCCCCAGGCUCAACCUGGGGACGCCACUCGAUACUGCUGUGACUAGAGUCCGGUAGGGGAGCGUGGAAUUCCUGGUGUAGCGGUGGAAUGCGCAGAUAUCAGGAGGAACACCGAUGGCGAAGGCAGGUCUCUGGGCAUUAACUGACGCUGAGGAGCGAAAGCAUGGGGAGCGAACAGG